Long non-coding RNA from Tarenaya hassleriana, 583 nucleotides. RefSeq lists it as uncharacterized. NCBI's taxonomy places the organism in Eukaryota, Viridiplantae, Streptophyta, Magnoliopsida, Brassicales, Cleomaceae. The record is from RefSeq and is a predicted model, not a curated record. The transcript is spliced from 2 exons.
AUGAAAAGAGGGUAACACUUGUCAGCGGAGAGGGAUCAGUGGGCAAGAAGGAAGGCAACGACAGGGAAAAUUGAAAACUGACAAAUCAGACACGUAUGCAGAAUUACAUGUAAAACCCGAAUCAAGCCUAGGAAAAGAUGAAAGUGAAUAGUUUGCAUCCAAGGUCAUGCUGCGCUAUUGGAACACUAUUCAACCUUUAUAACAAGAUACUAAUAUUCAUAAUAAAAAAGGUAUUUACUUCAUCAUCUUUAAUCCAUUUAAUAUUUUAUUAAUUACGAUUUUUUCCCUAAAAAAUCGUAUUCAAUUUUAUGAUAUAACGGGACGGUAUUCAAGUAUCAAAUAAUUUAUGGACAUCAAUAUUAAGCAGGCAGGUCUCCAUUCCACUAAUACACAUUCCCUGAUACAUCCUAAGUAUCUCUAUAAUUCCUGAUUUACCACAAGUGGGUCUUUCACUCUCUUCUGUUGCCUUUCAAACAGGCGAGAAGAAGGAAAAUAUAGACAUCACUUUUUUUCUUUAAGGCUUCAACUUUUUUUUUUUUUUCACGUGGUGUUCUUGAGGGCAUCGUCUCUUAAAGAAGAAGCA